AGAGUUUGAGCCUGGCUCAGGAUGAACGCUAGCUACAGGCUUAACACAUGCAAGUCGAGGGGCAGCAUUUUAGUUUGCUUGCAAACUAAAGACGGCGACCGGCGCACGGGUGAGUAACACGUAUCCAACCUGCCGAUAACUCGGGGAUAGCCUUUCGAAAGAAAGAUUAAUAUCCGAUAGUAUAUUAAAACCGCAUGGUUUUACUAUUAAAGAAUUUCGGUUAUCGAUGGGGAUGCGUUCCAUUAGUUUGUUGGCGGGGUAACGGCCCACCAAGACUACGAUGGAUAGGGGUUCUGAGAGGAAGGUCCCCCACAUUGGAACUGAGACACGGUCCAAACUCCUACGGGAGGCAGCAGUGAGGAAUAUUGGUCAAUGGACGAGAGUCUGAACCAGCCAAGUAGCGUGAAGGAUGACUGCCCUAUGGGUUGUAAACUUCUUUUAUAUGGGAAUAAAGUAUUCCACGUGUGGGAUUUUGUAUGUACCAUAUGAAUAAGGAUCGGCUAACUCCGUGCCAGCAGCCGCGGUAAUACGGAGGAUCCGAGCGUUAUCCGGAUUUAUUGGGUUUAAAGGGAGCGUAGGUGGAUUGUUAAGUCAGUUGUGAAAGUUUGCGGCUCAACCGUAAAAUUGCAGUUGAAACUGGCAGUCUUGAGUACAGUAGAGGUGGGCGGAAUUCGUGGUGUAGCGGUGAAAUGCUUAGAUAUCACGAAGAACUCCGAUUGCGAAGGCAGCUCACUAGACUGCAACUGACACUGAUGCUCGAAAGUGUGGGUAUCAAACAGGAUUAGAUACCCUGGUAGUCCACACAGUAAACGAUGAAUACUCGCUGUUUGCGAUAUACAGUAAGCGGCCAAGCGAAAGCAUUAAGUAUUCCACCUGGGGAGUACGCCGGCAACGGUGAGACUCAAAGGAAUUGACGGGGGCCCGCACAAGCGGAGGAACAUGUGGUUUAAUUCGAUGAUACGCGAGGAACCUUACCCGGGCUUAAAUUGCAUUUGAAUAAUCUGGAAACAGGUUAGCCGCGAGGCAAAUGUGAAGGUGCUGCAUGGUUGUCGUCAGCUCGUGCCGUGAGGUGUCGGCUUAAGUGCCAUAACGAGCGCAACCCUUAUCUUUAGUUACUAACAGGUCAUGCUGAGGACUCUAGAGAGACUGCCGUCGUAAGAUGUGAGGAAGGUGGGGAUGACGUCAAAUCAGCACGGCCUUUACGUCCGGGGCUACACACGUGUUACAAUGGGGGGUACAGAAGGCAGCUACCUGGCGACAGGAUGCUAAUCCCAAAAACCUCUCUCAGUUCGGAUCGAAGUCUGCAACCCGACUUCGUGAAGCUGGAUUCGCUAGUAAUCGCGCAUCAGCCAUGGCGCGGUGAAUACGUUCCCGGGCCUUGUACACACCGCCCGUCAAGCCAUGAAAGCCGGGGGUACCUGAAGUACGUAACCGCAAGGAGCGUCCUAGGGUAAAACUGGUAAUUGGGGCUAAGUCGUAACAAGGUA
This 1487-nucleotide ribosomal RNA is filed under the name metagenome. Its description in RNAcentral is "bacterial SSU rRNA". It matches the Rfam family "Bacterial small subunit ribosomal RNA". The record is from RNAcentral.